AAUAUACUGACCAUCACCUUCCAGAGCAAAGAGAAGUAGGAUGAUGUUCUGCUCAGGUCUGGAGAGUGGGAAGUAGGACAAAGAAGAGAUGUUAGCAGUAGAUGGCCCAGUGUGAAGUCUUUGUUGUGAUUCCGUGUUUCUCGUGGAUCUCUGGAGACAGCUUCCGGCUUGAGGAGAGAAUAUCAAUAGCCCA
This 193-nucleotide long non-coding RNA is filed under the name Gorilla gorilla gorilla (western lowland gorilla). Its description in RNAcentral is "lncRNA (ENSGGOG00000044402.1)". Lineage: Eukaryota; Metazoa; Chordata; Mammalia; Primates; Hominidae. The record is from RNAcentral.